GGUAAGGUAGCAAAGUUAUUGCGGCAGGUUGUAGCCCUGACGACGGGGGUCAUCCCCUCUUAUCAA
RNAcentral lists this transfer RNA (66 nucleotides) under Aspidoscelis marmoratus (Marbled whiptail). RNAcentral describes it as "tRNA-Tyr". It matches the Rfam family "tRNA". From Rfam's summary of the family: Transfer RNA (tRNA) molecules are approximately 80 nucleotides in length. Their secondary structure includes four short double-helical elements and three loops (D, anti-codon, and T loops). The record is from RNAcentral. Lineage: Eukaryota; Metazoa; Chordata; Lepidosauria; Squamata; Teiidae. RNAcentral also lists the same sequence under 1 other name.